RNAcentral lists this ribosomal RNA (176 nucleotides) under uncultured Rhodocyclaceae bacterium. RNAcentral's name for it is "partial 16S ribosomal RNA". It matches the Rfam family "Bacterial small subunit ribosomal RNA", at positions 1209 to 1382 of the family's 1533-position model. The record is from RNAcentral. Lineage: Bacteria; Pseudomonadati; Pseudomonadota; Betaproteobacteria; Rhodocyclales; Rhodocyclaceae.
UAGGGCUUCACACGUCAUACAAUGGUCGGUACAGAGGGUUGCCAACCCGCGAGGGGGAGCUAAUCCCACAAAGCCGAUCGUAGUCCGGAUCGCAGUCUGCAACUCGACUGCGUGAAGUCGGAAUCGCUAGUAAUCGUGGAUCAGCAUGUCACGGUGAAUACCGGUUCCCGGGUCUU